This 679-nucleotide long non-coding RNA is filed under the name Homo sapiens (human). RNAcentral describes it as "non-protein coding lnc-METTL25-4:2". The record is from RNAcentral. Lineage: Eukaryota; Metazoa; Chordata; Mammalia; Primates; Hominidae.
AUGACCACCAGAUAUUCGGCAAUAUACAUGAUCUACAUAUCUCAGACUAUUGUUAGAAUAUUGGGCAUUUUUUCUUCUUCCCCAUUAUUUCUUCCUUUACUGUACUAAAUGAAGAUUGAGGUCCAUAACUUUGACCUGCAAGCACCUCAUUGUAGCCACUUGUUCAUUCUUUUUAAAGGUGCCCCCAGUCCUUGAGACAAUGACACCUUUUAGGUUGAAACAUUUCCUCAGAGAUUUUGAAUGCAAAUCUAUUUUCUAUCUUCAUAGAUUAGACAGGGUAUAUCCAUUUGAGUGUCCCCUUGAGCAUCUCUAGCCAUCUCAAUAAGCCCCAAGAACUCCAGGUGGGUAGAAUAUUAAGAAGAAACUCCCAAAUAUAUUUAGUUUUUAAUUUUUCUCGGCUGGUCCUGUGCAUGCUAGCAAUGAUCUCUUUUCCUACGUCUAUGGUUGCUCAAUGGAGCAGCAAAAACAUCGUAGAAGAAAAAAAAAAACAGAUUAGGGAUACUGUUUUGCUGAGCUUCAUGAAAAAAAUCACGAUUUACAAUAUACAAUAUUGUGAUUAUUUCCCGCGUUUCAUGUCUGGACUCAUGAUCUAGGCUUGUGGCUACAUAAGUUUUAUCCUGUACAGACUCAAGCAGCAGGUCAGAUACAUUCACAGGAACAACCUAUUCCCCAGCUGCUU